Molecule: ribosomal RNA, 200 nt
Filed under: uncultured Wohlfahrtiimonas sp.
Lineage: Bacteria; Pseudomonadati; Pseudomonadota; Gammaproteobacteria; Cardiobacteriales; Ignatzschineriaceae
Description: partial 16S ribosomal RNA
Rfam family: Bacterial small subunit ribosomal RNA
Source: RNAcentral
CUUAGCUGUUGAUGUUACCUGAAGAAUAAGCACCGGCUAACUCCGUGCCAGCAGCCGCGGUAAUACGGGGGGUGCAAGCGUUAAUCGGAAUUACUGGGCGUAAAGGGCGCGUAGGCGGUUACUUAAGUUAGAUGUGAAAGCCCCGGGCUUAACCUGCGAAUUGCAUUUAAUACUGGGUAACUACAGUGUGGUAGAGAGUA